RNAcentral lists this long non-coding RNA (1432 nucleotides) under Coffea arabica (coffee). RNAcentral's name for it is "long non-coding RNA (CARA_LNC005386)". The record is from RNAcentral. Lineage: Eukaryota; Viridiplantae; Streptophyta; Magnoliopsida; Gentianales; Rubiaceae.
AACUUAAAGUGAAACUUAUAUACAUAACUGCCUUAAAAGGGAGUACAAACAUCGGAUAUACAAAGGUUCUCAAUCCUUCAUACAUCCAGCCUGUGCCGAAAGGUAGGGCGAGAACCAUUACAAAAAUUUAAAACUAGUCUAGGCUAGUCUAUACCGAGCUCUCGUCUUGGCUCGCCGUCCCCUGUUAAGGAAAACAAAACUAAAGGAAUGAGCUAAAAGCUCAGUGAGGUUCCGAACACAUAAUCAAAUAAUCAAUCCAAUACAUUAAACAUAGAGUAUCAAUAGUUCAAGAAAUAUUUACAAUGGAAAGCGAUAAUAACACAUUCAUUAAAAGGAUACGGGCUCACAAGGAGCCAUUCGUUCGUUCGUUCGUUCAUUCUCCUGUCAUUCCCCUUAUUUCUCCAAUUAUUUGAAAAUGCAUUUUUGUAAGUAAAACCCUCGUUUGCAUUGACAUUCGUUCGUUCAUUUCAUUCACCCCUUCCUGGACGUUGGCCAGGCUCCACCCGACAACAAGGUAAUACUCGAGUAUACCAAACGUUCACACCCAGGGUCACCAUAUCGCCCGACCGAGUCCGCUUUUGGCUCGAGUCGAUCGGUAAUGAAGGGCAGGGCCCAGUUCAGCCAAAAGGCUUACAUCAUGCGCAACUAGCAUUUCAUUAUUUAAUCAUUGAAAAUUUCACAUUCAUUUAGGUCGAGUGCGAUAAAGUGCACACUCGCCUAGAAAACUCAUUUAAAGCAAUCAUUGAAAACAUUUAACAUGUUAUCAUUCGUUCAUAACAAAUCAUAUAAUCAAGAACAAGCCACAUAGUCAAUGAAAAUAUAACAAACAAGGAACACUCACCUAUUUACGCAAAAUAACGUCCAAAAUAUCCUUCUGGAUAACACCCUCAAUCAUCAAGGAAUCCUAAUAUAAUAAAAAGAACACAUUAUGUUUCAACCAUCAAAGAUGUAAGUGAUUCAAAGAAAAUUCGAAUACGUACUAGUACAAAGUAUAAAUAUGGUUUUGGUAGUGAAAAGAGUACAUUUAAACCAAAGGACAUAAGUAAAAUAUUUGUAAAACUUAUACUCACGUGUAAAACUUUAAAAUCGCUAGUUGAGUCGAAGUGGCAAAGAAAACAUAAAUACCCUAGAUGGUUCACGUGGUAUUCGCUCUCGAGCCUUACUCAAGUGGCAAGUAUAUCGACCUAGUUCUCGAGCGUAAAUUUGGGCAGCACGCCCUUUGUAUUUACCUAUUUUCCAGCCAUUUAUGGCUUCAUUCUUUUCCUCAAUCAAACCCAAAGUCAUACACAAAAUCAUCUCAUUUCAAUAGCCAUUCCAUAGGCUCCAAGUCAUACAAGUACACAAUCAAGCUAGGAGCAUGUGCGGAAAUAAAGUUUAGCAAAAGACAGAUUUGAUGUUGUUUUGCGUAACGGACACAACCGAAGCUACGCUU